Molecule: unclassified non-coding RNA, 25 nt
Filed under: Mus musculus (house mouse)
Lineage: Eukaryota; Metazoa; Chordata; Mammalia; Rodentia; Muridae
Description: oocyte_clustered_small_RNA263
Source: RNAcentral
UUUGCUCUGCCAGCAUCAGGCCCAG